UACGUAGGGUGCGAGCGUUGUCCGGAGUUACUGGGCGUAAAGCGCACGCAGGCGGUCCUAUUAGUCUGGGGUGACAGUUCCCGGCUUAACCGGAAAAGGACUCUGGAAACUGUAGGACUUGAGGGCUUCAGAGGGAUGUGGAAUUCCGAGGUGGAGGUGGUGAAAUGCGUUGAAUAUCAUUCGGAACACCGAAAGCGAAGGCAGAGACACUGGGUGCCACCUGACACUGCUAGGACGAAAGCGUGGGUAGCGAAUGGG
RNAcentral lists this ribosomal RNA (258 nucleotides) under uncultured bacterium. RNAcentral describes it as "partial 16S ribosomal RNA". It matches the Rfam family "Bacterial small subunit ribosomal RNA", at positions 524 to 776 of the family's 1533-position model. The record is from RNAcentral.